This 422-nucleotide ribosomal RNA is filed under the name uncultured bacterium. RNAcentral's name for it is "bacterial SSU rRNA". It matches the Rfam family "Bacterial small subunit ribosomal RNA", at positions 355 to 774 of the family's 1533-position model. The record is from RNAcentral.
UAAGGAAUAUUGGUCAAUGGAGGCAGCUCUGAACCAGCCAUGCCGCGUGAAGGAUUAAGGCCCUCUGGGUUGUAAACUUCUUUUAUAUGGGAAGAAAUGUACUUUUUCUAAAGUGCUUGACGGUACCAUAGGAAUAAGCACCGGCUAACUCCGUGCCAGCAGCCGCGGUAAUACGGAGGGUGCAAGCGUUAUCCGGAUUUACUGGGUUUAAAGGGUGCGUAGGCGGAUGAAUAAGUCAGUGGUGAAAUCUCCGAGCUUAACUCGGAAACUGCCGUUGAUACUAUUUGUCUUGAAUAUUGUGGAGGUAAGCGGAAUAUGUCAUGUAGCGGUGAAAUGCUUAGAUAUGACAUAGAACACCAAUUGCGAAGGCAGCUUGCUACACAAUCAUUGACGCUGAGGCACGAAAGCGUGGGGAUCAAACA